UCGACGUCUUCGUUUUCUCGCAUUCCCUCAUCCAUCGUACGACGUACUGCAAGUCGCGACUCAGAGGCCGAGAGCUCGCCGGUGAAUUCCUGUCUUUUUCCGAGCACUCCUUCUCCUUCCGCCAUCAGUCGCCGCAGCCACCGCCGUCAUCGCCGUCUUCGCCGUCCGCGGAAAGCGAUUGCGCUUUGAUUGGGCGAAUCUGCGAUCUUUUCAGAUCUCCGUCGCUCUCGUCCGGCGCAGUUCAGCCGCAAACCUAAGCCGUUUUCGUAACAGCCGGGACGAGGAAGAGGCAGAGGCGGAUACCAAUCCGAGGGCCUAAGGGGACGCCUGGGUGGUCAGAGUUUGGGCAGGGAAGCAACCUGGAUAAUGACUACAGCCGUCCGAGGGGCAAUGGCUCCUACUUCCGUGGUUCGCAAUGAGUUAUUCGUUCGACCUUUCGAACCGUUAUAGCUGUGGCCAAAGGCUCGUUAGGUUGCUAUGGGUGAUUCCAUGUACGAUGGUUUCCUGAAGUCGUGGUCUGUGCUUCUUGAGGUGUGUUUCUUCCUUUUUGGCAUGAUUAGAUUGUUAAGACCUUUUUCACCUUUUGGCCCUUGCGGAGAGCUUAGAUGAGCCUUUCCCCUUGAAUGGUUUUUGUGAUGCAAUUCAAGCGGGAGUUUUGGGCGCCAUCGAGCCUUUACACUGUGAGGGCUGGUGAAUUAGGUUCUAUAUUGGAAAGUUUGUAACUGUUCGACAGUUUUCUGUUAUCUUUUGUUCAACGGUAUAAUUCCUACCUUUGCUGUGUAUAUAAACUGUUUAUGCUACCUGCUUCUGAGUUGGGUUUAUACGAAAUCAGCUGCAGGGUGUUUACUUUC
Long non-coding RNA from Eucalyptus grandis, 851 nucleotides. RefSeq lists it as uncharacterized. The transcript has 2 exons. The record is from RefSeq and is a predicted model, not a curated record. Lineage: Eukaryota; Viridiplantae; Streptophyta; Magnoliopsida; Myrtales; Myrtaceae.